AGGGGCGUAGCUCAAUUGGUAGAGUACCGGUCUCCAAAACCGGAUGUCGUGAGUUCAAUUCUCUCCGCCCCUGCCA
This 76-nucleotide transfer RNA is filed under the name Serratia symbiotica. Its description in RNAcentral is "transfer RNA Tryptophan". It matches the Rfam family "tRNA". Rfam says of the family: Transfer RNA (tRNA) molecules are approximately 80 nucleotides in length. Their secondary structure includes four short double-helical elements and three loops (D, anti-codon, and T loops). Lineage: Bacteria; Pseudomonadati; Pseudomonadota; Gammaproteobacteria; Enterobacterales; Yersiniaceae. The record is from RNAcentral.